Molecule: ribosomal RNA, 1322 nt
Filed under: uncultured soil eukaryote
Lineage: Eukaryota
Description: SSU rRNA
Rfam family: Eukaryotic small subunit ribosomal RNA
Source: RNAcentral
UUGAAGAUUAAGCCAUGCAUGUCUAAGUAUGAACUGGUUUAAGGUGAAACUGCGUACGGCUCAUUACAUCAGCUAUAACUUUCUUUGAUCAUAAAUUCUAAAUGGAAUAACCGAGGAAAAGCCUGGGCUAAUACAUGCGACAAUUCCGGUAGUAAUAUCGGAAUGCUUUUAUUAGAUCAAAACCUUCUAGUUCUUUCAUCGGAACUGUUUGUUGGUGACUCUAAAUAACUUUGUGUUGAUCGUAUGACCUUUGUGUCGACGACAUAUCUUUCAAGUGUCUGACUUAUCAACUUUAGACGGUACAUUAUAUGUCUACCGUGGUUGUAACGAGUACAGAGAAUCAGGGUUUGGUUCUGGAGAGGCCGCCUGAGAAACGGCGACCACUUCCAAGGAAGGCAGCAGGCGCGCAAAUUACCCACUCUCAAAACGAGGAGGUAGUGAAGAGAAAUAACGAUGUUAGUCUAAUUUAGGCUGACAAUCGGAAUGGGAACACUGUAAACAGGUUAUCGAUUAACAAUUGGAGGGCAAGUCUGGUGCCAGCAGCCGCGGUAAUUCCAGCUCCAAUAAGGAAAACUAAAGUUGCUGUGUUUAAAAAGCUCGUAGUUGAAUUUCGGGUAUUUGUUGCUAGCUGGUCUAACUGGCCAUGUUGGUUAACAGAUCCUCAUUUGCUGGACGGCUGGCGAUGAUCUUUAUCGAUUGUCGUUAGUUGCCAGAACGUUUACUUUGAGAAAAUUAGAGUGCUAAAAGCAGGCUCACGCCUAUAUAUAUUGCAUGGAAUAAUGAAAUAAGAUCUCGAUUUUAUUUCGUUGGUUUUAGAAAUUGAGAUAAUGAUUAAUAGGAUCAGAGGGGGGCGUACGUACUGUGGUGUGAGAGGUGAAAUUCUUGGAUCGCCACAGGACGAACAGCAGCGAAGGCGUUCGCCAAGAAUGUUUUCAUUAAUCAAGAACGAAAGUUUGAGGUUCGAAGACGAUUAGAUACCGUCCUAGUUCAAACCAUAAACGUUGCCAACUGUCUUUUAGAUGCGGUUACUUAUAUGACUCAUCUGGCGGAUCUCGAGAAAUCUAAGUUUUUAGGUUCCGGGGGAAGUAUGGUUGCAAAGCUGAAACUUAAAAGAAUUGACGGAAGGACACACAAGAAGUGGAGCCUGUGGCCUAAUUUGACCCAACACGGGAAACCUUACUCGGCCAGGACACUUUUAGGAUUGACAGAUUGAGAGCUCUUUCUUGAUUAGGUGGGUGGUGGUGCAUGGUCGUUCGUAGUUCGUGGAGCGAUUUGUCUGAUUAAUUUCGAUAACGAACGAGACUCCGGCUUACUAAAUAGUC